Molecule: long non-coding RNA, 2021 nt
Organism: Dama dama (fallow deer)
Lineage: Eukaryota; Metazoa; Chordata; Mammalia; Artiodactyla; Cervidae
Exons: 4
Source: RefSeq, a predicted model, not a curated record
GCGAGCCUCGCGGCGUCUCAGAGAACCACGGCGAGGACGGCGGCAGCGAGGCGCUGCAGGCGACGGGCAGGCGCGGGAACCCUGUCUCCACUUCGCUUAAUGGCAGGAAACAGGCACCGCAGUCCGCGUUGCCCGGACCUGGUGCGAGAGCUUGCACAGGUUGAGACCGCAACAGUUCAAAAGAACAAGAGCAAAGAGACCUCAAAGUUAUCUCUGGGCAAAUUUAGAAGCACAUGUGUCUCCUUGGACAAUUCACUUCACUCCGAAGCGACAAGAACCCAGUUUUGGGUCCUGGAAGGGGUCCCCCUUCCUGCAACAAAUGGCGACUCUGGCAGGUGUCUGCUGCGACUGACAUCCUGACCACUUGCGGUACUCAGGAACCAGCUUGCCCGCUGAUGGACCAGACCCAAUGGCUGCAACUGGGACCCUUUUGUCUCUGGUCUCCUCCUGACACAGACAACUGGCCAGAACGCCCCAACCGGGAAUCCAGAUUGGAAAAGAAGUAAAACUCUUACUGUUUGCAGAUGACAUGAUCCUCUACAUAGAAAACCCUAAAGACUCCACCAGAAAACUACUAGAACUAAUCAAUGAAUAUAGUAAAGUUGCAGGAUAUAAAAUCAACACACAGAAAUCCCUUGCAUUCCUAUAAGCUAACAAUGAGAAAACAGAAAGAGAAAUUAAGGAAAAAAUUCCAGUCACCAUUGCAACGAAAAGAAUAAAAUACUUAGGUAGGGAUAUAUCUACUUAAAGAAACAAAAUACCUAUAUAUAGAAAAUUAUAAAACACUGGUGAAAGAAAUCAAAGAGGAUGCAAAUAGAUGGAGAAAUAUACUGUGUUCAUGGAUUGGAAGAAUCAAUAUAGUGAAAAUGAGUAUACGACCCAAAGCAAUCUAUAGAUUCAAUGCAAUCCCUAUCAAGCUACCAACGGUAUUCUUCACAGAACUAGAACGAAUAAUUUCACAAUUUGUAUGGAAAUACAAAAAACCUCGAAUAGCCAAAGCAAUCUUGAGAAAGAAGAAUGGAACUGGACAAAGAAUUAAUCUCAAAAAUAUACAAGCAAAUCCUGCAGCUGAAUUCCAGAAAAAUAAAUGACCCAAUCAAAAAGUGGGCCAAAGAACUAAACAGACAUUUCUCCAAAGAAGACAUACAGAUGGCUAACAAACACAUGAAAAGAUUCUCAACAUCACUCAUUAUCAGAGAAAUGCAAAUCAAAUCUACAAUGAGGUACCAUUUCACACCAGUCAGAAUGGCUGCUAUCCAAAAGUCUACAAACAAUAAAUGCUGGAGAGGGUGUGGAGAAAAGGGAACCCUCUUACACUGUUGGUGGGAAUGCAAACUAGUAUGGCACUAUGGAGAACAAUGGUGGAGAUUCCUUAAAAAACUGGAAAUAGAACUCCCAUAUGACCCAGAAAUCCUACUACUGGACAUACACACUGAGGAAACCAGAAUUGAAAGAGAUACGUGCACCCCAAUGUUCAUCGCAGCACUGUUUAUAAUAGUCAGGACAUGGAAGCAACCUAGAUACCCAUCAGCAGACGAAUGGAUAAGAAAGCUAUGGUACAUAUACACAAUGGAAUAUUACUCAGCCAUUAAAAGAAUUCAUUUGAAUCAGUUCUAAUGAGGUGGAUGAAACUGGAGCCUGUUAUACAGAGUGAAGUAAGCCAGAAAGAAAAACACCAAUACAGUAUACUAACGCAUAUAUAUGGAAUUUAGAAAGAUGGUGACAAUAACCCUGUAUGCAAGACAGCAAAAGAGACAUAGAUGUAUAGAACUGUCUUUUGGACUCUGUGGAAGAGGGUGAGGUGGGAUGACUUGGGAAAAUGGCAUUGAAACAUAUAUAUUAUCAUAUGUGAAAUGAAUCGCCAGUCCAGGUUCGAUGCACGAGACAGGGUGCUUGGGGCUGGUGCACUGGGAUGACCCAGAGGGAUGGGAUGGGGUGGGAGGUGGGAUGGGGGUUCAGGAUGGGGACCACAUGUACACACAUGGCAGAUUCAUGUCGAUGUAUGGCAAAACCAAUACAAU